GCUUACGGCCAUACCACCCUGAACACGCCCGAUCUCGUCCGAUCUCGGAAGCUAAGCAGGGUCGGGCCUGGUUAUACUUGGAUGGAGACCGCCUGGGAAUACCAGGUGCUGUAAGCU
Ribosomal RNA from Labrus bergylta (ballan wrasse), 117 nucleotides. Lineage: Eukaryota; Metazoa; Chordata; Actinopteri; Labriformes; Labridae. The record is from Ensembl.